RNAcentral lists this transfer RNA (74 nucleotides) under Loxodonta africana (African savanna elephant). It matches the Rfam family "tRNA". From Rfam's summary of the family: Transfer RNA (tRNA) molecules are approximately 80 nucleotides in length. Their secondary structure includes four short double-helical elements and three loops (D, anti-codon, and T loops). The record is from Rfam by way of RNAcentral. Lineage: Eukaryota; Metazoa; Chordata; Mammalia; Proboscidea; Elephantidae.
ACCUAGGUGGUAUAAAUGGUUAACACACUUGGCUGCUAACCAAAAGGUUGGAAGUUCGAGUCCACCCAGAGAUA